RNAcentral lists this ribosomal RNA (484 nucleotides) under uncultured bacterium. Its description in RNAcentral is "partial 16S ribosomal RNA". It matches the Rfam family "Bacterial small subunit ribosomal RNA", at positions 31 to 507 of the family's 1533-position model. The record is from RNAcentral.
AUGGAACGCUGGCGGCAUGCUUUACACAUGCAAGUCGAACGGCAGCGCGGGCUUCGGCCUGGCGGCGAGUGGCGAACGGGUGAGUAAUGCAUCGGAACGUGCCCAGUAGUGGGGGAUAGCCCGGCGAAAGCCGGAUUAAUACCGCAUACGACCUGAGGGUGAAAGCGGGGGACCGAAGGGCCUCGCGCUAUUGGAGCGGCCGAUGUCGGAUUAGCUAGUUGGUGGGGUAAAGGCUUACCAAGGCGACGAUCCGUAGCUGGUCUGAGAGGACGACCAGCCACACUGGGACUGAGACACGGCCCAGACUCCUACGGGAGGCAGCAGUGGGGAAUUUUGGACAAUGGGGGCAACCCUGAUCCAGCCAUGCCGCGUGCGGGAAGAAGGCCUUCGGGUUGUAAACCGCUUUUGUUCGGGAAGAAAUCCUCUGGGCUAAUACCCCGGGGGGAUGACGGUACCGGAAGAAUAAGCACCGGCUAACUACGUG